UAGUGCAUCUUUGAUCAUGGAAAUUUGGUUGCAAGCUUUUCCCUUUUGUUCUUUUUAGUUUUGCUUUCUAACUCUCUAUAUAUGUGUGCAUGUAUAAUAAGGAUGUACUACAGGUAUGGAGGUACUUUGAAAUGUACCUACGAUGCAAGUUUGUUGGUUUUGGUGCACGGAUCUUGAUUUAUUGGAACCAAAUACUGUGUUUUUCUCUCCUUGAUCAACUUUGUGUUUCCUUGUUUGGAUCCAACUUGUAUAGGAUAAGUAAAAAAACAAAUUAAUCAUUUGUGUAUUGCAAGGUUUUGUAAUUUUAAACUCAGAUCCGCCCCCACUUAUGCUCCUCUUCCACCCACACCAUAUAUAUAUCAUCGUCUUCAUCAUCAAGGGAAAUAUUGGAGGAGGGAUAUACAGAAGAGCAAGAUAUGGACCAAGGAGGCUACAGAUUGGUGUUACCUGAAGAUGGAUAUGAAUGGAGAAAGUACGGCCAAAAGUUCAUCAAAAAUAUUGGUAAAAUGAGAAGUUAUUUCAAGUGCCAAAGGAGCAGUUGUUCUGCAAAAAAGAGAGCUGAGUGGUCAACCUCAGAACCCAACAAUCUUAAAGUAGUAUAUAAGGGGGUGCACAACCAUGCCUUACCAGCAUCAGAAUCUAGCUCCUCUCAGCUAGGGACUUCUUCGAAUGCCAACCAAUAUGACUUGUUGACACAAGUCUUUGGAGAUCGAUCAACUGCUCAUUAAUUAUCAUGACAAUUGAAGUACUAGUUCUGCUUAUUACUAUGCUUUCUAAGAGACCUUUUUCUCUUCCCUUGGAGAAAGCCUUGCCAGUUAAGAACAAUGAAGGUUAAAUUUAUGAUAUUUUAAUUCACUGGAACAUGGGUUUUCUUCAAUCUGUUUGUAAAUAUUUUUGAUAUAUAUCCUAAAAAAAGUAUCCUCCUUUUUCCAGUC
Molecule: RNA transcript, 935 nt
Organism: Quercus lobata
Lineage: Eukaryota; Viridiplantae; Streptophyta; Magnoliopsida; Fagales; Fagaceae
Gene name: probable WRKY transcription factor 3
Exons: 3
Source: RefSeq, a predicted model, not a curated record